RNAcentral lists this ribosomal RNA (482 nucleotides) under uncultured bacterium. RNAcentral's name for it is "partial 16S ribosomal RNA". It matches the Rfam family "Bacterial small subunit ribosomal RNA", at positions 30 to 507 of the family's 1533-position model. The record is from RNAcentral.
AUUGAACGCUGGCGGCAUGCCUUACACAUGCAAGUCGAACGGUAACGGGCCUUCGGGUGCCGACGAGUGGCGAACGGGUGAGUAAUACAUCGGAACGUGCCCGAUCGUGGGGGAUAACGAGGCGAAAGCUUUGCUAAUACCGCAUACGAUCUACGGAUGACAGCAGGGGACCGCAAGGCCUUGCGCGGACGGAGCGGCCGAUGGCAGAUUAGGUAGUUGGUGGGAUAAAAGCUUACCAAGCCGACGAUCUGUAGCUGGUCUGAGAGGAUGAUCAGCCACACUGAGACUGAGACACGGCCCAGACUCCUACGGGAGGCAGCAGUGGGGAAUUUUGGACAAUGGGCGCAAGCCUGAUCCAGCCAUGCCGCGUGAAGGAUGAAGGCCUUCGGGUUGUAAACUGCUUUUGUACGGAACGAAAAGCCUUCUUUUAAUACAGGAGGGUCAUGACGGUACCGUAAGAAUAAGCACCGGCUAACUACGUG